GAUGAAGAACGCAGCGAAAUGCGAUAAGUAAUGUGAAUUGCAGAAUUCAGUGAAUCAUCGAAUCUUUGAACGCACAUUGCGCCCGCCAGCAUUCUGGCGGGCAUGCCUGUUCGAGCGUCAUUUCAACCCUCGAGCCCCCCCGGGGGCCUCGGUGUUGGGGGACGGCACACCAGCCGCCCCCGAAAUGCAGUGGCGACCCCGCCGCAGCCUCCCCUGCGUAGUAGCACACACCUCGCACCGGAGCGCGGAGGCGGUCACGCCGUAAAACGCCCAACUUUCUUAGAGUUGACCUCGGAUCAGGUAGGACUACCCGCUGAACUUAAGCAUAUCAAUAAGCGGAGGA
Molecule: unclassified non-coding RNA, 343 nt
Filed under: soil metagenome
Description: partial contains 5.8S ribosomal RNA, internal transcribed spacer 2, and large subunit ribosomal RNA
Rfam family: 5.8S ribosomal RNA (bases 1-120)
Source: RNAcentral